AACGAACGCUGGCGGCAUGCCUAACACAUGCAAGUCGAACGAGACCUUCGGGUCUAGUGGCGCACGGGUGCGUAACGCGUGGGAAUCUACCCUUGGGUUCGGAAUAACAGUUAGAAAUGACUGCUAAUACCGGAUGAUGACGUAAGUCCAAAGAUUUAUCGCCCAAGGAUAGGCCCGCGUAAGAUUAGCUUGUUGGUGGGGUAAUGGCCUAACAAGGCGACGAUCUUUAGCUGGUCUGAGAGGAUGAUCAGCCACACUGGGAAUGAGACACGGCGCAGACUCCUCCGGAAGGCAGAAGUGGGGAAUAUGGAACAAUGGGCGAGAGCCUGAUCCAGCAAUGCCGCGUGGGUGAUGAAGGCCUGAGGGUUGUAAAGCUCUUUUACCAUGGAUGAUAAUGACAGUACCUGGAGAAUAAGCUCCGGCUAACUCCGUGCCAGCCGCCGCAGUAA
This 449-nucleotide ribosomal RNA is filed under the name uncultured bacterium. Its description in RNAcentral is "partial 16S ribosomal RNA". It matches the Rfam family "Bacterial small subunit ribosomal RNA", at positions 29 to 523 of the family's 1533-position model. The record is from RNAcentral.